CGGACGGGUGAGUAAUGUCUGGGAAACUGCCUGAUGGAGGGGGAUAACUACUGGAAACGGUAGCUAAUACCGCAUAACGUCGCAAGACCAAAGAGGGGGACCUUAGGGCCUCUUGCCAUCGGAUGUGCCCAGAUGGGAUUAGCUAGUAGGUGGGUAAAGGCUCACCUAGGCGACGAUCCCUAGCUGGUCUGAGAGGAUGACCAGCCACACUGGAACUGAGACACGGUCCAG
This 231-nucleotide ribosomal RNA is filed under the name uncultured bacterium. Its description in RNAcentral is "partial 16S ribosomal RNA". It matches the Rfam family "Bacterial small subunit ribosomal RNA", at positions 99 to 334 of the family's 1533-position model. The record is from RNAcentral.